UGGGGAAUAUUGCACAAUGGGGGAAACCCUGAUGCAGCGACGCCGCGUGAACGAAGAAAGUUUUCGUUUCGUAAAGUUCUUUUCUAUGGGAAGAUAAUGACAGUACCAUAGAAGAAAGCUCCGGCUAAAUACGUGCCAGCAGCCGCGGUAAUACGUAUGGAGCGAGCGUUGUCCGGAAUUAUUGGGCGUAAAGGGUAUGCAGGCGGUUUAAUAAGUCGAAUGUUAAAGAUCGGGGCUCAACCCCGCAAAGCAUUGGAAACUGAUAAACUUGAGUAGUGGAGAGGAAAGUGGAAUUCCUAGUGUAGUGGUGAAAUACGUAGAUAUUAGGAGGAAUACCAGUAGCGAAGGCGACUUUCUGGACACAAACUGACGCUGAGGUACGAAAGCGUGGGGAGCAAACAGG
This 403-nucleotide ribosomal RNA is filed under the name bacterium. RNAcentral describes it as "partial 16S ribosomal RNA". It matches the Rfam family "Bacterial small subunit ribosomal RNA", at positions 355 to 776 of the family's 1533-position model. The record is from RNAcentral.